Molecule: non-coding RNA, 1852 nt
Organism: Chrysemys picta bellii (western painted turtle)
Lineage: Eukaryota; Metazoa; Chordata; Testudines; Emydidae
Source: RefSeq, a predicted model, not a curated record
GCCGUCGAAGAAUGAAGCGGCGCAGUUGAGCUGCCGCCAAAGUGCCUCCAAUCGCAGCUUUAUCUUUUUUUUUCCGCUUCGCUGGUUGGGGUGGCAAAAAAGCUGGAGCCGGCCCUGGUUAUACAAUAUAAUCUCUGCAGCUAGAUGUGUAAUUUCCAGCUCAACUAGAUAUAUAUGUGCUAGCUUUAAUCAAGCUAGCAUGCUAAAAAUAGCCUGUGUGGUUCACAAUAUAGGCUAGCCACCAGAGUAUGUAGUUAGGGUACCUGGGACGGCCAGCCUGUCUCACUGCCCCCACAGCCACAUGCAUAUAUGUGCUCAGGCUGGAAAUUACAUCUCCAGCUCAAGGGUAGGCAUAUCCUCAUUCCCUGUGGUAGGAGGGCUUCCAACCUGAUUUUGCUAUUCAUGGAAGCCCCAAGAGAGAGCAACUCCUAAUAGCAGCUGGGAGGGAAAUCACCCACAAAAUACAUCUGGUUUGGUUCUCAAGGAUUCAGCAGUUCUUAAAAUUAUUUGCAUAUGUUCAGAGAAUAUUUCAUCUUGCAACAUGUGCAGGAGCCUGUGCCAAACCUGGUCAAAUAUAAGGAGAUCUUAUGGGUUAAGCAUUAGCAUAACACUCAGAAAAUCUAUGUUCAGUUCUGCCUCAGAAUUCUUUUAUGACCAUGGGAAAGACAUUAAACUUCUUAUCCUACCAUAUAUGUAUACACUGCAAUGAGGAGCCUACUAGAUCAAAGCUACCUCAGCUGAAGUCCAAGAUAUUUUUUUGACUGCAAACAGAGCAGUAUGUGGUAGGAUGCAGUGGACCUGUAGCAUCUUUGAAGAAAAAACGUGCAAACUAUAUUCUGCUAUGUACACUGUACUUGCUGAGUGGAGGUCCUUUCCAAGGUGUUGUGUAAAAUCUGCUGCAGAGUUUCCAGACCGCUGCCUUGGUGUUGCAUGAAAACUAGAUGUCGUGCUAUUGAAUUUAGGUCCAUCUUGUCCCAGAGAACACCACGUUUGUUAAUAGCCUAUAGCACAUGUAUAGCACUUUUCCUAUUCAAAACACUUCAUGAACAUUAACUAUUGUAAACAAUAAGGCCAUCUAUAAGGUACUUUACUGAUCAAUUAUUCUGUAUUCCUCUAAUUAUUCUUAUAGUUAAAUAACACUGAAGAUAAUAUGUUAAUUGCAUGUACAGUAUGUAAGCAGACAGUGCAAUUCCUUACAGUAUGUUUGGGGAUUGGGCUUAAAUUUGGAGAUGGAAUAUGUAUUGUUUGUACAGUUGUGUGAUAAAUUACUGGCAAAUAGAAGCACAGAUGGCUUUGCCCUAAGAUCAGGCAUCACAUGCCAGAAAUUAUCUGGGAAAUUGUCAUUUUAAAAAUAACUCUAGAACAAGUGCCAAGUUUUGAAGGAUCCAUGUGUCUAAUAAACAGAUAUAAACAUCAGCAGUGUCCAAAGCUUAAGUAUAUUUGGAUUAUAUUAUGGAUAUGGAAAACAUGCACAAUUAUCACCUAUCUGCUAGUAAAAAUUAAAUCUCUUCAUGUAUCUUUUGUGCUUUUAAUCAGGAACUGGAAUUCUUUAAUUGCUAUGGAAUGAAUGGACCAAAUAGUCACUCUAAAUUAAGUUCUAGUUACCUAAGGAAGUUCAAGCAAUUAUAAAGUCUGGAGAAUUUUUGUAUUAGUUGUUUAAAGUUAUUACACUUUAUUCACAGCUCUUAUUGUCUUCCAGAUUUGUGAGUACUCAGCGCUACUGAAAUUCAGGCUUUGAGUUUAUUAAUACUUCAAAGUCAAAUUAUUACAGUUUAUUAAAGUUGUUGUAACUUUUCAGUUUAUUAAAAUUGUAUUUAUUACAUACAGUAAUUAAACAAUGGUUGUUACAUUA